GAAAAUCAGCGUCUCCUUUCUCUGCAUGGCAGAAAAGUUUUGACUCCUUCCAUUUUUUUGGCAAAAUUUGACUCUCAUAUCUUAUAAUAAAAAUUUUGUGUGGUCAUGGAAUUAUCUGCAAACUCAAGCACUUUGACUAAAGAACUCAAAUUUGUUUGCCAUUUACAACGAAGAUGAUAGUGGUAAAAGGUUUUUUUUUGUUUCCCCAAAAUUUUCACCAUUUCGGCAAUCAAAUCGUUGCUCUCUCCGUCCCUAUCAUCCUUUGUCUCUGUUACAUGCCAUUUCAAACGGUUCUUUAGCCAUUUAAGACCCUAAACCUUCAAGAAUACCACCUAAAACUAACCUUAGAGGAACCCUAACUCUUCCUUAUAAAUACCAGCCAUUAGAGUUUUUUUUGGGUAGUUCUUGACCGCCUAAAAAAUCUACUACUAUUACUACUGUCUUACCUUCCUUGAAAAACUCUUUAGUAUAUAUACAGUUUCACGCAAUCAAAAUAGAGGAUUCUGUUCUUUUGAAGUUAUAUAGUCGUUCAAGGUAGCAGGAGAUAGUUGACCCUUUUGACACACCCCAUUUCACUGCCCACAAGUAGGUUAGAUCUAAACUUUUAUUUCUGUAUUAAUUUGUUUACUAUCAUAUGUGAUUUAGGAAUCGCUUGGUAUGGAAAUCAUGUUUUUAAAGGUAUUUUAGUGUUUGGGACGAAUAUGCAUAAAGUAAUUGAUUAGUACCAACCAAAAUGCUUGUAUGAAAACUCUAUUGUAUUUGGUAUUAUCGGUAUACUAGGAAAUGCUUUUAUAAUUCUUGUUUUGCCUAAGUGAAGAACCAUACCUCUUUUUGAUACUCCCUGUUAGGUAGGAAUAUUAGUUUGGGAAUAUAUUUUCAUGGCUUAAGAAUUAUUUUAAUUAAAACAAGUCCAGUGACAUUAUGGACCUGUAGUCUUAGUUGAAGUUUGGAAUAUUUAGCCGUUAUAAACUUUUUUCACUACCCAAUGAUGAUAUGAGACUUUGUUUCUUAAUACACCUAAUUAUUUGAGGUUUAGUAUAUAAAUUGAUUUGGGCUAUAGGUUUAACUCUGUUGCUUUAUUUAUGCAAGAAAUAGAUAUAUGUGAAGGUAUUAAUACAAAUAUUAAGUAACAAAAGCAAAGCAAUGUCUUAAGAAGUAGAAAUCAUGUAUAGUUAUUUGUCUAAAAAGUAUUGGGUCCAUAUAUGUUCUUUAAUUUUUUUUUUAAAGAGAUAUAUAUUUAUAUAUUUAGUACCACUAACCGUAUGUGUCCCAGUUGGACUAUUGAGCUUGUUUUAAAUUUAUAUGGUGUCUAAGUUUUAAUCUACUGAUGUAAAUGGAAUGGCUUAAAUACAAUUGAAAUUAAAUAAAUAAUAUGACUUUUUCACUUUAGCUGUUCAUAAUUAACAAUUUACAUGUCUUCUAAUUGUUCUAUUUAUUUUCUUUGAUUCACAUGAAUACCGGAGUCAGAGUUUUAUUUUCAGACUCAACGACGCCGCAACCGCUUAUCUUCACGCACAUCUAGCCUCUACACUUAUUGAAAGCAAGUCAUAAAAAACGGAAAAGGGUCAGAACUGUCCCUAACAUAUUGACGUCAGUUUAAAAAUGCCCUCUGUUAACCUAUUUUGAAAAAAAUGUCCCUACCGUUAAAAUUCUGACAUAUUUGUGCCCCUAACGAAUUGACUCCAGUUUAAAAAUGCCCCUACCGUUAACCUAUUUUGGAAAAAAUGCCCCUACAUUUUUAAAUAUAAGUACAUUCAGUUGUUAGACUUAGGGGCACAAAUAUGUCAAAUUUUUAACGGUAGGGGCAUUUUUUUUUAAAAUAGGUUAACGAAUGGCAUUUUUAAACGGGAGUCAAUACGUUAGGGACAGUUCUGACCAUUUUCCCCAUAAAAAAUAUUCACUCUUCUGUUUGAGAGCUUUGUCUUAGUUUUGCUUAUGAUUGGUGACUAACGUUUUAUCUUUGUAUGAUUAUCUUUUAAAUCUAGUUACGUGAUUAUUUAUUUUUAGUUGUGUAAAUAUUUGACCCAAUGGCAAUACAUUGGAUAGUAACUGGCGAUUAUAUAAUCAUCUAGGUUUUUGGGAUACUUCUUUAUCAUUUACUAAUACAACACCUAGACAUAGAGAUAUUAAGAAUUUAGUUAACUUGAUUUAGAUUGGAGGAAUUAGAAUUGAAAAUUGAGUGUCCUUAAGAUAGUGACUCUCGUUUCUUCUUUAGCCAAUAGCACUGGUUUUCAACUAUGGUUUUCUUAUUUGAACUUAUUGGAAUUAAUUUUUAAGCUUUACAAAUGGGCAAAAACGUGGGUUUAACCAACUCUUAUACAUUAAGUUAGUAUAAUCUUUCUUACGCAUAUUGACUUGCGGAUUUCUUUAAACAUAACAUUCACUUACACUUAGCCUUAAUUAAUUCAAGUACGGCUGAUAAACCAUUUAAAAUGUAUCUUAAAAGGUACCUUAAUAACUUUCUCUUUAGAUUAAUUGCACCCUUGCCUAGAACUUUUAGAUUGAGUAGACCAUUAAUAGAGUUACACUUUAAUUUACUUUAAUAAACAUUAGGUGUCCUAAUUCACUAUAAUUAAUUAGGUGGCGACCUUUUUAACUUUAAUUAAAUUCAGAAUUGCUUAUAUGUUGUACCUUAAUUUAACCAGUUUAAAAUGAGGUAUAACAACUUCGCGACUCCGUUGGGAAAACUUAGGUUCUGACCAUAACAGGCUUAGUUUUAUUUUUAUUAAGAUUAGAUUUGCAAUAAUCCAACUAGUUAAGCACAAAAACGCACGCAUGACUUUUUAUAAGCGGUGUCGAAAUUUAAAGUGGUGAAUAUUUACUACAAUAAAUAUGAGAGAUAGGAAAUUGAGAAGAACAACACUACCACCCUAUCACUUAGAAAUUACAAGUUAUAGAGGAUGAGUACUUUUUCAUAGUUACGGUUUACAAUUCGUUUAUCUUAUUGUAAAAUAAUUACUUUUUAAAAGUUAAAUAGUAUUUCAUUAUCACUUAUGGUGUCACGAAGGAGGACACAAUUCUACUUUUUAAAUAAAAGAGGCUUAAAAGAAAAAAAUGCAAAAGAAACUUAUACAAAGUAUUCGAAUCGUAGACCUCGAUGUUAUAAGUGAGGCGCUUGGCCAUCAGACCAGACACUAUAUUUUGUUCAGCAAUGUCAUGUGAUUUGUAUCUAUAUAUUUUGCCCAGUGUUUAUAUGUGUAUAAUUAAAGUUUUCCGGCGAAGCGGUGUCAUCCUAGGGUGCAUCCGCUCCUGGCUAAGCAAACGUUGUUGGUUUGUUUCUACUAAGUAAUACGGUCCAAGUCCAUGACACGUAUUGUCUACUUUGGCCCAAUAAACCUCACGGAUUGGUCUCUUGGGCUAAAAGCGGCAUACUAUAUAAACUUGUAUUGUGUUUCUUCUCCCAUUCUAAUUUAGUUCACCUUAG
This 3424-nucleotide long non-coding RNA is filed under the name Nicotiana benthamiana. Its description in RNAcentral is "long non-coding RNA (NBEN_LNC042530)". The record is from RNAcentral. Lineage: Eukaryota; Viridiplantae; Streptophyta; Magnoliopsida; Solanales; Solanaceae.